CGGCUCAUUCCUCGCCGUAAUCGAGUUCCGAAACGCCUCAUACUCCUCCGGCAACCCCCUCAGAGCAUGACCAAUCAUCUCCGCGUCGUCCAUCAUCACCGAAAACCCGGCCAGCUUCGUCCUAAUCUCAUCAAUCCUCCCCACGUACACAUUCACCGAGUCGCCUCCCUUGGUAAUCGUCUGCAGAUCAGACCUGUACUUCAUGAUGUUGAAAUUCGACAUCGACGUGAACCGCCGCUCCAGCGUCAGCCACAGGUCCCUGGCCGUGUCGGCCCCGAUGAUGUGCGGCAGCGCCGACGAGGACAGCGUGGCGUUGAUGACGACCUUGACGCCGGCGUCGUAGCGGCGCCAGAGCCUGAAGUCGGAGGUGAGCUGCGCGGUGGGCUCGCCUUGGGCGUUGAGGGCGAAUUUGUCGGGGGUUUUGAUGGUGCCGUCGACGUAGCCGCGGAGGCCGUGGGCGGUGAAGAUGGUGGUCAUGAGAUGAGACCAGAUGAAGUAGUUGGUGGAUUCGAGGCGUAUGGGCAUGAGAUUACAUAUGGAUGAGAGGAGGACGUCUGGGGUUUCCGGGUAGGAGGAGGAGGUAGGAGAUGAAGCGGCCAUGGUUUAGGGUUUCGACCUCUGUGCCUCUGCUCUGUAGACCGAUGAUUUAUAUGAGCUCCGACGGAAAACGGAGACCGCAGGGCACCGGAUUUUGACACGUGGCUUUCAACGGGGUAAAUGAAAAACCAGCGAUUAGGUUCAUCCGG
Molecule: long non-coding RNA, 746 nt
Filed under: Rosa chinensis
Lineage: Eukaryota; Viridiplantae; Streptophyta; Magnoliopsida; Rosales; Rosaceae
Description: sRNA RchiOBHm_Chr7g0206461
Source: RNAcentral